UCUACGCUGUGUUUGCGGUGUCCCUGGUGACUGCUAUUGUUCAUGCAUACUUCCCAGUCUGCCACACAACUUAUACACCAUAAACUCGCAGUCAAGGUGAAGUCCCGCAAAUUUAGACCUAUGCUUAGCACUUUUACGACCCUAGCAGUGAGGGUUCUUUAACGUGCCAACGCCUGUCGCGACAUGGGACCUCCGUUAAGACUUCUAAAUGCCUAGCAUUUGUCGAAGAAGCAAUCACUACCUAUGUUUACGCCUUAGGAUUACCACGACCUCCUGGUUAUGAAGCGAACACUCUACCACUGAGUCGAUUUGGGGAACAGAGACAACAUCUGCCAAUUCAUAUUGACACCACAGUGUAUGCGACAGAUCUACAAAUUUGUUUAUUAUAUUCAUUUUAUGUUUUUUAUUGAAGUACACACGUACAAUCAGGAUUUGGAGACUAUUGUUGAAGUUUUAUGUAUUAAUUGUACAUCAUAUCAAAUGAAAUUUUAGCCAUGUGUGGUCAGUCUUGUAAAGUCAUGGUAAAACGUCCAGUCUCUACUAGAAAUAAAAACAAUCGCAGCACAAGGAUUUUGCGCUGGGGACAUCCCUGUGUUUUCUACAGAAAUCUUCCGCCGGAUAUCCCUGUGACAGAAAAUUUCUGCUGGAUAUCUCUGUGACAGAGAAUUUCUGCUGGAUAUCUCUGUGACAGAGAAUUUCUGCUGGAUAUCUCUGUGACAGAAUUUCUGCCGAAAUAAGAAAUGAAUUUUAUUUUUGAAAAUACAUGAUGUAUGCCGGAGUGAAAUGCUGUAGUUCAUACCAUCCUUCAUUUCUUUUACAUUUACAUUGUCGGAAUUCCCUGCCAAUAGAGUAGACGCACUAUACACUUAUCUGUAUUCACCCGCGCAUAGUUUGCAACUGCAACACAUUCAUGAGGAAAUGGCUAUCAUUUCUCGGUAUUCAGUCCAUAUCUUGUGUUACAUAAUUUUCAAACUGCAUGCACUUCUAAUUCUAAAAGCACAAAUUCGUGUACAUUUUUAGUCUCAAGUUAUCUGUAAACAGUUGUGAUAUCACCAUUGACAAUAUAACUAUAACUAUAUUUAUUUCCAAUCAAGGGCCCUCAAGGGGCAGCAUGAAAAUACAUACAAAUAAUGUACAUAUACAUAUACAAGUAAAGAAAGAAGUGAUUACAUAACACAUAGUUAUAUACAAAUACAGUGUCAUAUAUUGUUCAAAAUAAAUUUUCCAGUUAUAUUUAGAAUGGAUGGCUCUUCAGAACAUAGUAUGUAAAUGAAUUUUUGUUCAUCAUUGAGUUUGGUAAAAAAAUUUAACUGUUUUUUCUAUAGCACCACAAAAAGAUUUUCUUUCAUCAGCAAACUUUUCACAUUUAAUAAAAAAAAAAUGGAUCUCAUCACCUAAUAAA
Ostrea edulis (European flat oyster) is the source of this 1402-nucleotide long non-coding RNA. RefSeq lists it as uncharacterized. The transcript is spliced from 2 exons. Lineage: Eukaryota; Metazoa; Mollusca; Bivalvia; Ostreida; Ostreidae. The record is from RefSeq and is a predicted model, not a curated record.